GGAGAGGUGCGAGAGUGGCCGAAUCGGGCGCCCUGCUAAGGCGUUAUACUCGUAAGGGUAUCAGGGGUUCGAAUCCCCUCCUCUCCG
Molecule: transfer RNA, 87 nt
Filed under: Acidobacteriota bacterium
Lineage: Bacteria; Pseudomonadati; Acidobacteriota
Also listed under: 2 other names
Description: Acidobacteria bacterium (permafrost metagenome) tRNA-Ser
Rfam family: tRNA
About the family: Transfer RNA (tRNA) molecules are approximately 80 nucleotides in length. Their secondary structure includes four short double-helical elements and three loops (D, anti-codon, and T loops).
Source: RNAcentral